GUACAUUUUAAUGGAAAACAGGCCAAAAAUAUUUAGGCAUUUUAUUAAUUUCAGCUGCAAACCAGAACACUGUGCAAGAAGAGUUUUUCAUGAAAGGAUACAUCAAGAAGCCCUUAAUUUUUGCUUUUAUUCUUUUAUUGAUCGCAUAGCAACAGCAAUCAGAGGAAGGAUAAGAGGAUUCCAUACACAGGUUUAAUAUUUCCAUGGCCAAGGCAAUCUGAUAUUCUGGCAUUGCACCAGUACGUGUGCAGCUGUAUUUGCAAGUUUAAAAACCAAACCCAAAGUAAAAUUGAUAAAUUGAUUUGUAGUAUAAAUUGUGAAUAUAAUACACUGACUGAAAUAGCCAUGUAGGUUUUUCCUAUGCCUUGUAUAUAGAAAAUAUAGUCCACCACAGACGCAUAGUUUAACUGUUGUGCACAUAAAAUCCAACUUCAUUAGUCUAUCAAUAAGAUAUCCAUCACAAACAGGACAUAAAACGCUCCAACCAUGUAGCCCAUGCCAAUCUAAGUGUUUUAUAGCACUCAAAGCAAGAAAUGGAUACACCAACGUGGGCUACGGGAUCUAAUUUAUUGUCCUGUUUGUGACAGAUAUUUUAAAGAUGGAUUAAGAACACUGAAUUUUAUGUUAAGUUCACAACAAUUGAGAAAUUUGUCUAUCACAGACGAUAUUUUCUGUAUACAUUGUUGUAUUUUUUUUGUGGGAAGGACCACUAAUUUAGCUCCAGGAUGGAGAUUCGGUGGAAUUGGAUUUAAACAUCAACACUGAUCAAAGUGUGAUUACUCCUUAAAAUCAAGAAUGUAUUGUUACUGGUUCUAGUUUCCACCACCCCCCCCUUCUCCUAUGCCAUGCCACAAAGCAUGACUCAAAUACAUCAAUCUAUUUCUGUACUCAUACGGAGUAGCAAAUGUCCCAUUUUUAGAGUUUUUUCACAAAGAUCCGUGGGAUUGUUAAAAAAACAAAAAACGGAAACACACCAAUCAUUACCUCACCAGACUCUGCAUUGUAUCAUCUCAGAACUAUAAUCUAAUUGUGACAUUUCACAAAUUCCAAAGUGCAGUCCCGGAAAUUAACUUUAAAAUAUAUAUAUAUAUGAUUAAUGUUUUUCUGCUCCUGAUCUAAACCCCUUAUAUGUAAUAUUUAACAGACCCAAAGCUAGUACAUUGAAAUAGAGAGGAGUAAAAUGGUUGUAGCACAUGGAAUUCCCACUUGUCGCCCCUAUAGUUUUGGAAACCAUAGACCAUUUAGAUUCACAUAUAAAAAGCACAUCAUCAGAAGCAACUCUGGGGCAACAUUCUAAAAGUGGUGCACUCACUAUCAAAACCAUUGUACUUAUCUGUUGCCUUUUACAAGAGCUGUAAGACAUACACAAAGUGUAUCAUGGCCUUCUCUCUUUUCAGACUUUGAAUAUUGCUCACUUGACUUCAACCCCCUUAAGAACACAAUUAAUAACCCAUUAAAGAUUGCAAUCUGCUCUCUUUAAAGACCCUCUGGUACUAUGGCAUGACCUGCUUAUUUUAUUCCACUUUGAUACAAAUCAUCUUUUUAAAGACCCUUUUUAUUUUUCUAUUUUGGGUGUCAUUUAUAUUUAUGUGUGUCAUUUUUUUCUUGUCACUCAGCAUUUCCUAUAGAACAGUAUAGCGGUAUAACAAAACAAAAAGUUCUGUUAGUGUCAGAAAACAGUGGUUCCUAAAUCCAUUUGAUGGCAUUGUGCAGAGUAAAAUAUAUAGAACAUCUACAUUUUCUAGGUAAAAGGCAAAACUUUUUAAAGUCCGCAUAUUUUAAGAUUUAUAAAAUAUUGAAGAGAAGCAAUCGUACUUUUAGUUUGUCACCCACCUUUUGUUUUCUAGACAAAUUGUGGUACAUGACAAUGGAGAUCUUGUGGUAUACUUGCAUAUUAAAAACAAAAAAAACCAAACACAGUGACUGACAGAUUGUGACAAUUCACUCUUAUAAUAGGUCUAAUUUAUGGCCAAGAGGAAAGAAAAAGCAAUAUAUAAAUAUUCUUAGGCUUUGCGCGCAGCGUUGCCAGAGUGAUAUAAACUCCAGCCACAAUAAUAUCCACCAAGAAGGAGCACAUCACUGGUCUAACGCAAAAGACAAUAAAACUGAUUUUCUUAGAAUAUUAUACAGGUCAAUAUUUCCAACCACCAUGACUACUUCAGUGAUUUGAAGUAGUCCUGGUGGUAGUAGUAUGUAUGUGCAGGGUUUCUGCUUGAAACAGUGCACACAUGGGGUUAGAUUUUUGGGGUUACUCGGACCCUCAACACAUGUUAUUAGACAGCACACAACACUGUUCCGGGCUGCCUAAAGUCAGUUCUGCACUUAUUUUACGUCUGUUGUCAGACUUAAAAAUCUUACAGUACUCUAUAUCUGGCCAGUUCCCCAAAAAUAUAAUUUUACAUUAGGACUAGGACAAUGAUAAAACACUGGUUCCACUUAAAAGCCAGAUGGACAUGUGAAAUCCACAUCAAUGUGAGAAAAGUUCCUCUUAUGAAAGCAGAGUUUCAAUAUGCCUACACAUUAGAACAGGAUGUAUGUUUAUAACCUUUGAAGGUUGGAAAUGUGCACUAACAGGCAAUACUAUCUUCACAUAGCAAACAUGAAACCAUUCACUCUGAGAAAACAUGUUGCUUACAGACUGUAUCGUAGCCCAGGAAUGAGAAUUACCCCCAUGAUGGCAUACCAUUUGCAAAUGAAGACAACCCAGGGUAUUCAAUAUGGGGUAUGUCCAG
This 2732-nucleotide long non-coding RNA is filed under the name Pelobates cultripes (western spadefoot toad). The record is from RNAcentral. Lineage: Eukaryota; Metazoa; Chordata; Amphibia; Anura; Pelobatidae.